Molecule: long non-coding RNA, 536 nt
Organism: Osmia bicornis bicornis
Lineage: Eukaryota; Metazoa; Arthropoda; Insecta; Hymenoptera; Megachilidae
Exons: 4
Source: RefSeq, a predicted model, not a curated record
UUUGUUCUGUAGAGCGCAGUUCAUUCGUUUAGUAUACUCCAUGCUCGACAGCACAAUCAUUCGCAGGUCGUGUAUGUGAUUAAAUUGUGUAUUAGGUAUCAAAAAUACAUGAAACAGAAGACAAAGUUGAAGAGAAGAACGGAGUCACGACUUCUGAACAUCAUUUCCAUAUUGUCUUCAGAAAUGCCAAUUCGAAGUUUCUACCAAUGCCUGUGAUUGGUCGUUCCAUUACGGCGUCCUCCUAUUUAGACCAAUCAGAUUCAUCGUUGAAGGGUUUGUUGCGCGGAGUGUGGUGGAGUGCCUAGUCCUCUUCGAAGCUUCGUCCCGUUUGACACGUGUUUGCAACAGGUAUCGGCCGACAGAGGAAUAUACCGAACAAUGCCGAGCGAUGCCGACCGGUCUCCGGCAGGAAUGAAGGUCUCGCCAUUUCUCUCGCAAACGUCGAAGUGACAAGACGUGUUGAGAGCAUCCUUCCGUAUAAGUAAUAGAUAAUUGAUGAAUAUUAAAAACACGCCAUAACACCUGAUAUGAGUAUG